UUGUGAUGUUGAUGUUUAUAAUGAUGAUUAUUAUGAUUACGAUGGAUUGCUUCAUAUCACCACGAUCAUCAUCAUCAUCAUCAUCAUUAUUAUCAUCAUCU
RNAcentral lists this microRNA precursor (101 nucleotides) under Bigelowiella natans CCMP2755. Its description in RNAcentral is "miRNA EPrBNAG00000013180". Lineage: Eukaryota; Cercozoa; Chlorarachniophyceae. The record is from RNAcentral.